Molecule: long non-coding RNA, 10321 nt
Filed under: Arabidopsis thaliana (thale cress)
Lineage: Eukaryota; Viridiplantae; Streptophyta; Magnoliopsida; Brassicales; Brassicaceae
Description: long non-coding RNA (ATHA_LNC000098)
Source: RNAcentral
GCUCACAUGGCAUAGCUCAAGUAGGCAACAAGAUUUACUCUUUUGGUGGUGAGCUCAUACCAAAUCAGCCCAUCGAUAAACACCUUUACGUCUUUGACCUCGAGACCCGGACUUGGUCCAUUGCUCCAGCCACCGGAGACGUUCCACACCUCUCUUGCUUAGGUGUCCGUAUGGUGUCAGUAGGAUCGACCCUCUAUACCUUUGGAGGCCGAGACUUUUCACGCCAAUACAACGGUUUCUACUCGUUUGACACGACAACAAACGAGUGGAAACUGCUAACUCCGGUGGAAGAAGGACCCACUCCUCGUAGUUUCCAUUCGAUGGCAGCGGAUGAGGAAAACGUUUACGUUUUCGGUGGAGUGGGUGCUAUGGAUCGAAUCAAGACACUAGACUCUUACAAUAUCGUUGACAAGACGUGGUUUCAUUGUUCGAAUCCAGGAGAUUCCUUUAGCAUAAGAGGAGGAGCAGGGCUCGAAGUGGUGCAAGGGAAAGUAUGGAUUGUGUAUGGAUUUAACGGAUGUGAAGUAGAUGAUGUUCAUUUCUACGAUCCUGCUGAAGACAAAUGGACACAAGUGGAAACAUUCGGUGUGAAGCCUAACGAAAGGAGUGUUUUCGCUAGUGCGGCUAUUGGGAAACACAUUGUGAUAUUUGGAGGUGAGAUUGCGAUGGAUCCACGAGCUCACGUAGGUCCGGGUCAAUUAAUCGAUGGGACUUUCGCGUUGGAUACAGAGACGUUGCAAUGGGAGAGGUUAGAUAAGUUUGAGGGGACUCCGAGUAGCAGAGGAUGGACCGCGUCCACGACUGGAACCAUUGAUGGUAAGAAAGGACUUGUGAUGCAUGGUGGUAAAGCUCCAACCAAUGACCGGUUUGAUGACCUCUUCUUUUACGGAAUUGACUCUGUCUGAUUAAGCGCGAUUUGAUCAUGACCGUUUGUGUUUUAUUUGUUUGUGUGUCUGUGUGUCUGUGUGAUGCAAUAAGGGAGGGAUCGUGAUACCUCUAUAUGAUCCUUCGUCAGCUUAUCCAUUUUAUUUUUUAUUUUCUAAAUGUAUCUUUUUGUUUUUUGUUUUCUGUUUUGUAUGUUUAAUGUUUCGUGGCUUGUUCAAUAAGAUGUUUAUUUUCCGAAUUUUUUUUGGGUAUGUUACGUUAUACUACAAACAAAAAUAUUAUGAUUUUGAUUUUCUCUAAAGAUGAAAUGAAUAGAACAAGAAGUCAGCAGAUAGGGUGGUUUCAUCUACUUUUGUGGUUGGUAAAUGUGGUUAGAAAAAUUUGCAUUGAAUUGUAAGUUUCUAUCCAUAAAAGAAACAAAAAAUUAAUGUAAUCAAGAGUGGAAAGUUACCAAUGGAUUAUAAAAAUCUUGCAAUUCUAAUAAAUCCUCAUGUCAACGGUACAGAUAAGAUAAGGGUAAGGGGCAAACAAUCUUGUUGGUUCAAAUGGCAAGUAAACAAGGGCAAUUAUAUCCACCUAAUCCAUUGCGUUUUCUUUCUCUAAUCUUAGAAUCUACUUUAAUUGUAUGUUUUUCUCUUUCAUCUACUUUCCAAAACUAUAUAACCUCAUUUCUAUACUUUUUAUGCAUUUAUUUUGAAACCCCUUUAUCAAAAAAAAAAAAGGGGCCAAUUUUUCUUCAAAAAUGGUUACUUUAAGAUUCUCAUAUACAGUGUGCCAAAAAAAAAAAAGGUACCUAAAAUAUUUAUUAUUUCAGAUAUUGGUCAACAUAUUAUCUGUAACAGAAAAAUGUUCACGUGAUAUUUGCGAAUCACAUUUUUCUAGGGGCAAAAGUGAUAUAUGAGAAUCUUAAAGUAACCUUUUCUAGAAUAAUUGCCCUUGUUUACUUGCCACUGUAGUCAUUUAUUUAAUUUAUGUUCAAAAACAGAUUACCUACCUAAUUCACCGAAACGAAAAAUUUUGUUGCCAGUUUUUGUUUUUUUUAAUUUUUUUUUUCCUCUUUUUAGUUUACCUUCUCUUUUUUCUGUUCAACAUUAAACUAGAAGGUAGAGUAAUAAAUAACGAUGGAUGGAUGUGUUGAAAACGCGCUUUAUGCAUGAUUCAUACGAGAGCAGCUGAGGAGGAGACAAAAAACGGGUCUACACUAUAUCAGACUUUUUUUUGUUUUUUUGGUGUAAAACUAUAUCAGAUGGAAAAAUAUCAACCAAAUAAUGUAGAAACUAUAUCAAACUUUUAACAAAACUAUCAACCCAAUAUUUUAUAUUUUAUUAAAAAACAAUACUAAUAAUUUUUCCUUUUCCUCGUUUUUUUUUUUCUGAUCAACCAUUCACACGUUGUUUUUCGUAAUUAUGAUUCUGCAUAAUGCUUUCUCUAAAUCAAAAACUCCACGCCACGGUUCAACUGAUGUAGUGCCUCCACCGUUGUCGUUUGACUCGUUGCAGAGGACACCAUUAUGCACUUCGAUUCAUUUUCAAAAUCGUCUUUCUCUACUGAAUUGUUACUCCAUUUAAUUUUUUGGUCCAUAGAUAACAUAGACCAUUAUACUAGUAUGUUAAAUGUAUACUUAUCAGUUACCGCACAACAUUAAUUCUUAAAGAGGGUUCAUUUUCGAGAAUUGAGUACAACACUACCAUUAGGCCAAAAUGCGAGAGGCAAAAAAAGAUAUAGCAUAUACUUAUCAUGAAUAAUGAAAAUCUUUUCCAUCCAAAUAAAAAUCUUUCUUCUCAUAAAAGAAAGAAGAGAAAAAACAAUGAGUUUGCAUAUCUUUAUCCUGUAGAAUGAUAAUCUUCCCCAUCAACUACUGUAGAUCGUCAACGUGUACUCACUUCCAUUAUCGAUCGAAUCAUCAAUUUAAUGCCUCGUGAAUCACGAGAUCAUAUAAUAUGACAAGAAAUUCGUCCCGUUUAUCUACUGCUGGUCAAUAAAUACUCAUGCAAUUCCCACCAAUAGAUCACUCAACCAAUUUCUUCUCAGGUUCUCUCUUCACACCUCUCCCCUUCUCUAUGAUUAUAGAUAGUAUAUGAUUUGGUUAAAUUAUCUAUAUUUCUUUUUUGAUAAAGGAUUUGGUUAAAUUUUUAAUUGCAGGUAAUACUCGUAAGAUUUAUCAACACAAGCAAAAAAGAUGGCCCAAAAGCUAGAAGCAAAGGGUGGUGAGAUGGGAGAUGUAUGGGAUGAUGGUGUUUACGAAAAUGUUAGAAAGGUAUAUGUAGGGCAAGCACAAUACGGUAUAGCCUUCGUCAAGUUUGAGUAUGUCAAUGGUUCUCAAGUGGUUGUUGGAGAUGAACAUGGAAAGAAGACAGAGCUAGGAGUUGAAGAGGUACUAAAAUAGAUUUUUUUUUUUUUUUUUUUUUUUUUUUUUUUUUAGUCAAAAGGUACUAAAAUAGAUUUAUAUGUUGUGAUUGAUCAAGAGGUAGGGUCUUUUUUUUUUUUGUUGCUUUCCGCAUUGAAAAUUGCUUGGUUUCUUUGCAGUUUGAGAUUGAUGCGGAUGACUACAUCGUAUACGUGGAAGGUUACCGUGAGAAAGUUAACGAUAUGACGUCAGAAAUGAUCACGUUUCUUUCUAUUAAGACUUUUAAAGGCAAAACCUCUCAUCCUAUCGAAAAAAGACCUGGGGUUAAGUUUGUGCUACAUGGUGGAAAAAUCGUUGGGUUUCACGGACGUUCAACAGAUGUUUUACACUCCCUUGGGGCCUAUGUUUCUUUGUCAUCCACUAUCAAAUUGCUUGGGAAGUGGAUUAAGGUAAUAAUCUCUUAGACCAAUCCAAAAACAAAAAUAAAAAAUUAUCUCACAUAAAUAUGUUGUUAUUGUUACCACCGCAAAAUCACUAAAUCACUUACGAGAAAGAAAAAAUGAAGAAGAAAAGAGGGUUGAAUUUGGAAUUCAGAUAAUGACACUUUUAAAAUUUAUAAUUUUAUUAAAUUUAUCUUAUGGGAGUUCAUUAAUCAGAUAAAUAAUUUCUUUAAAAAUAACUAAAAAAUAUUACUCAUAGGUGGAGCAAAAAGGAGAAGGUCCAGGGCUAAGAUGCUCACAUGGCAUAGCACAAGUAGGCAACAAGAUUUACUCCUUUGGUGGCGAGUUCACACCAAAUCAGCCCAUCGACAAACACCUUUACGUCUUUGACCUCGAGACCCGGACUUGGUCCAUUUCUCCAGCCACCGGAGACGUUCCACACCUCUCUUGUUUAGGUGUCCGGAUGGUGUCAGUAGGAUCGACCCUCUAUGUCUUUGGAGGCCGAGACGCUUCACGCCAAUACAACGGUUUCUACUCGUUUGACACGACCACUAACGAGUGGAAACUGCUAACUCCGGUCGAAGAAGGACCCACUCCUCGUAGUUUCCACUCAAUGGCAGCCGAUGAGGAAAACGUUUACGUUUUCGGUGGAGUGAGUGCUACGGCACGACUCAAUACACUAGACUCUUACAACAUCGUUGAUAAGAAGUGGUUUCAUUGUUCGACUCCAGGAGAUUCCCUUACCGCAAGAGGAGGAGCAGGGCUCGAAGUGGUGCAAGGGAAGGUAUGGGUUGUGUAUGGGUUUAACGGAUGUGAAGUAGAUGAUGUUCAUUACUACGAUCCUGUUCAAGACAAGUGGACACAAGUGGAAACAUUCGGUGUGAGGCCUUCCGAAAGAAGUGUAUUCGCUAGUGCGGCUAUUGGGAAACACAUUGUGAUUUUUGGAGGUGAAAUUGCGAUGGACCCGCUAGCUCACGUGGGUCCAGGUCAAUUGACCGAUGGAACUUUUGCAUUGGACACAGAGACGUUGCAAUGGGAGAGGCUGGAUAAGUUUGGUGGAGAGGAAGAGACUCCGAGUAGCAGAGGAUGGACCGCGUCCACGACUGCUACCAUUGAUGGUAAGAAAGGACUUGUGAUGCAUGGUGGUAAAGCUCCAACCAAUGACCGGUUUGAUGAUCUCUUCUUUUACGGGAUUGACUCUGCCUAAUUAAGGCAGAUUUGGUGAUCAUGAACGUUUGUGAAUGUGUGUGUGUGUGUGUGGGUCUGUGUUUGUGUGUGUAAUAAGGGAGGGGUAUACCACCAUAUGAUCCUUCCCCAGCUUGACCAUUGUUUUUUUUUUAAUAUGUUUUUCUUUCUACAUGUUUGUUUCACGUUUCAUGUUGUAUCCAAUAAAUUGUGUACUUUCCUAGUAGUAAUCGCCAGAAAAAAAAAAAAAAAAAAAAAACCUAGUAGGUAGAGUCAUAGCUUACAAUUAAAUAAAUAACGAUGGAUGUGUUGAAAACGCGUUUAUGCAUGAUUCAUGAAUUGUAUAUACGAGAGCAGCCGAGGAGGAGAUAAAGAGAGGGGUCUACAAUGAUCAAUACUAACUUAAUUUUGUAGUGUUGUCAGUCAAUAAUGUAUACCUAUCAAAAUGGGGCCUAUAUUCCAUCACUAGUGAGUUCGUCAGUCAAUAAUGUAUUUUCCGACACUUAAAAAACGUUCCAAAUCAUAAUACUUAUAAUUAUAACCAGAUAAGUUUUACUGAAUCCCAGACUAAUUCUCAAACUUUGCUAUCAUGUUAUUAACAAACAUUACAAUGUAGAGAAAUAUGGAUGCCCUAGUUUCAACUAACACGAUGAAUCAUGUCAAUCACUGUAUAAAUAGUUAAUAAGUUGUGACUUUUUUUUUUGUCGGCUAAUAAGUUGUGACUUUAGGCACCGUCAAUAUUCAACUGUAAUUAUAAUCGUAUAUAAUAAGUGAUUAUAUCUGUCAAAUAUCAUAUAUAACAAAUAAUAUAAUUGUAUGUAUAUAUAUUAUCUCUAUCAACUAUAAUCAUAUACAGAAAGAAAAAAAACAAGUGUUACAUCACGCUUAGCUUAAAAGUUUCGACUUUUUGCACCGUCAUAUUUCACGUGUAAGCAAGAAAUACAAAUGUAAAUAGAUUAUAAUUAAUGAAUUCUCUCGACUCUCUCAACAUAGUAUAUAAAAGGAAAUCUACACAUGAACCGUAUCUUUCUCACUUUUGAAAUAUUUUGAUGUUUUAAAGAAAUUUUUUCAAAAUUUUAUAUAAAUUAUAAAUUAAUUUAAUAUUUUUUGAUUAUUUAUAUUUUUCAUCAGUCUUGUUCAUAAUUGGUUGAAUUGUUUUAAAGUAAAUAUUUCUUUAGCUAAAACAUCUUAUACAAUUAAAAGAAAAAAGUGUAAUCAAAUAACCAAAUAUAAAUUAGUAUUUCAAAUUAUACUUAUUGCAGGGUGAUAAACCUUUUGUCCCAAGUGAAGUUAAACCUAUAAAUAUAUACCCCAUUUAGAGGGUCCUAUAUAACUAAAGUACCACAUAUUUGGUGGUUUAUAUCAUUCAAUUUUUUUGUAACUAACUUAAUAUUUGAUAUGUAAAAUCAUGUUAAAAUAGGAUCAGCAGAUAGAAUAUAUAAAAAAUAAGUCAUGUACAAACGUAACGUUCUUCAUAUCUUAGGUAACGUAUCUAACAAUUUUGUUAAAUAUUAUUAUUUUAAAAAAUUGAACAUAUUAUUUGGAAACUUUUCUUUUGAUAAUUUUGAAAUGGCACUUUGUAAUUAAGAGUUUAAUAAAGAACACGUCACACACAAAAACGAAGAAAGAGAUUAUAGAAAUUAAGUUGUGUUUUCAAUCUUCGUGUAUACAAAACAAAAAUAAAAAUUAGAAAUGAUAUUUCAUACGAUGUUGUUAAAUAAUAUAAUUAUGAAAAUUAGUUGUGCUUUAUAUUAUUAUUUUUGUUGGAAGCUCUAGAAACGAUCGACCUAAUAGUAUAUUUUUGUCACUAAAAAGUGUGAUUAAAAUAUAUAUAUAUAUAUAUAUAUAUAUAUAUAUAUAUAUAAUAUUGUAAUUUUCAACCAAUUCUCGGUUUAGGUGGUUUAUUAUUAUAUUGUUUUUUGAAAAAAUUAAAAAAUAUAUCCUUAUUAGUUCAUUCUUUUCUGGUCAUUCGUUCACACUUUACAACUUGGUUAAUGGCCACUUCUCAAGUUAUCGUUCUUUCAUUUGUUCUACAGUCGCAAGAAAUUAUCGUUCUUUCAUUUGUCAUUAUGCAUAAUGAUUUCUCUUUUCUUUUUAGUGCAUAAUGAUCUCACUACAUAAAAAAAUCUAUCUUACGAUUCAACUAUAUUUAGUCCCAUGCACUCGCUGCAUAACACAUUACUUUCUUCGAUUUAGAGUGAUUUUCACAACCUUGUUUCUGUAUUGUAUAUUUAGUUAGUGUUUGUGAUUACCAAAAAAAAAAAUUGUUUCUUCUUGGCUUAGUCUUUUUAUCUUUUUUUUUUUUUUUGCUUCAUCUAUUUUUCCUCCCAUGACAGAUGAAGACGGCAAGAGAUGCAGCAAAUCUCAUUUAUGAUCUAUCUGAAGAAUCAGCGUCAUCGAUUUGGAGACUCGAACCAUAACAAAAAGAGCAUCACAGUUUCAAUUUAAUUGCUCCUGGCGCUUCCUAUUUCAGCAACAAACAUUAAAUAAUUAAUCCAAUAGAGAUGAUAUAUAUGGAAAUUUCAAAACCAAAAAAAGAAACUUUCAAAACCAAAAUUGCGAAGCCAUAGAAAUCGUGGAUCAUGGAAUUGCGAAGACCAAUGUUGACAUAUGGGAAUUUGGUGUCCCAAUGAGCAGAGAUCACUAAGAUUGGUUUUCGGGAGGAACUUUUUGAGUUCAUGAUUUGAAGAAUUGUCUCGCCUAUAAGCUAUCGUCCAUAGUUUGAGAUUCAUGCGACAAGAAGAAGGUUUGAUUCACUUUCUCCAUUUAAUUGAAUCAUCUUCAUAGAUAUAUUUUCAUACUUAAUCAAUGUUUUUACCAAAAAAAUAAUGUUAUUUUAUUAUUUUGGUUUUAUGUGGUUUGGGAUUGGUGUAGAUUAUAAACCGAUUAAACCAAUGUUUUUGUGUUCUGAGAUUUCAAACUUUUGAACUAAAUAAAUAUACGUUUUGGGGAAUAUCCAAUAUCAAUAUGUAUCAUAGUUUGGACUCUAUCUAUUCCAGUAUGAUAAUUCCCGUGGAAAAAUAUAUCAUCGUCUCUAUUUUAUACAUGCACUUGCAACACAAACCAGCCAUAAAGUGGGUCUAUUCUUAUAAUUUAUGACAACAUGGAACACUAUCAUUGGGCCACGAUGCAAGGAGCGAAGGACGAUGCGAGAAGGUGCUUUACUGAUUUGAUGAACGUGGAGGUGAUUCUGAAUGAUACGAGAUCUCUAAGCUGAAUAUAUAAUAGUAUAGUUUUUCGUAAUUUUUUUUUGUUAAAUUUUUUAUCGCUGCUAAAGAUUAAAUGGCGAGUAAAACUAUACUAUUAUACUUUCAAAGAUCACCCGAGAAAAUGAUGACUGCACAUACUUUCAAUAUCCCAUAGAUGACAUAUCUGUUUUAUUUCCAUCAAGCUAUUCAUCGAAACAAAAGCACAUGACGAUUAUGGGAGAGAAACACUACUCUAAAAUCCCGUAAUAAGCUGCACCACCUAAUUUUUUGUGCCUUGACCAAAAAAAAUUCAAUGUUGCAGUUCAACGAACCUUCUUACGGAGGAUCUUUAAACAAAAUUUAUUUGGUACAUAGAGAAAAAUAUUUUAAUAUAUACUAAUUUAAUGCCUCGCGAUCAACGAGUAGAGAAAAAAUAUGUCGCGUGUAUCUUCUUCCAUUGGUCAAUAAAUACCAAUGCAAUGUUUACUACACAAAUCAUUACUUCAGUCUCACUCUCAGGUCAGCUCUCUCCACAUCUCUCUCAUAUGAUUGUACUAUGUAUAAGAUUUGGUAAUAUUUGUAAUUACAAGUAAAAUUCGUAAAUACAGAUAAUAUUCGUAAGAGGUUGAUCAAACGAAAGCAAAAGAGAUGGCCCAAAAGGUUGAAGCACAAGGAGGAAAUGGCGGUAACCAAUGGGAUGAUGGAUCCGAAUACGACGCUGUGACCAAGAUUCAAGUCGCAGCAGGCGGGAACGGAAUUGAAUAUGUUAAGUUCACAUACGUCAAGAACGGACAAACCGAAGAAGCCCCUCUACGCGGUGUCAAGGGCCGUAGUUUCGAAGCAGAUCCGGUUCCUAUACACUAUCCUUGCCUAUCUCUUCAUUUUUAUCUAUAAGGACAUUGACGUGAAUUAAUAUAUAUAUAUAUAUAGGUUAUAUAUUGUCAAGGGUUUGUUUUGAUAAUGUUCUUUUUAAGAAAUUGACAUUUUGAUCUUGAUCUCUACAGUUUGUGAUAAACCAUCCGGAGGAGCACUUAGUUUCUGUAGAAGGUCGGUAUAACCCUGAAGGACUUAUUCUAGGGCUAACGUUCAAAUCCAACAAGAAGACUUCUGAUCUCAUUGGAUAUGAAGAUGGUACACCGUUCACUCUCCAAGUUCAAGACAAGAAGAUCGUUGGAUUUUAUGGCUUCGCUGGAAACAAUCUCCAUUCUCUUGGAGCGUACUUUGCUCCGUUGACUAAUGUAACCCCCUUGAAUGCCAAAAAGCUAGAAGCAAAGGGUGGUGACACGGGAGAUAUAUGGGAUGAUGGUGUUUACGAUAAUGUUAGAAAGGUAUAUGUAGGGCAAGCCCAAUAUGGUAUAGCCUUCGUCAAGUUUGAGUAUGUCAAUGGUUCUCAAGUGGUUGUUGGAGAUGAACAUGGAAAGAAGACAGAGCUAGGAGUUGAAGAGGUACAAAAAUAGAUAAUUCUAUGUUGUGAUUCGUCAAAAGGAUAUAUAUAUAUAUAUAUUUAUAUGGGUAACCUCACUCAAAAUUAUUUGGUUUCUUUGCAGUUUGAGAUUGAUGCGGAUGACUACAUCGUAUACGUGGAAGGAUACCGUGAGAAAGUUAAUGGUAUGACCUCAGAGAUGAUCACUUUUCUUUCAUUCAAGACUUAUAAAGGCAAAACCUCUCAGCCUAUCGAACAAAGACCUGGUAUUAAGUUUGUGCUACAAGGUGGAAAAAUUGUUGGGUUUCACGGACGUUCGACCGACGUUCUAGACUCCCUCGGGGCUUAUAUUUCAUUGUCGCCCACUCCAAACUUGCAUGGAAAGUGGACAAAGGUAGUAAUCUUUUAUAUAUCACCAUGGGAGCUAGUUCACUAAGCAGACUCUAUAUUAUAAAAAAUCCUAACUAACAAGUAUUAUUAAUUAAUUAUAAGGUGGAUGAAAAUGGAGAUGGUCCAGGGCUAAGAUGCUCGCAUGACAUAGCACAGGUAGGAAACAAGAUUUACUCUUUUGGUGGUGAGUUCACACCAAAUCAGCCCAUCGACAAACACCUUUACGUCUUUGACAUCGAGAGCCGGACUUGGUCCAUUUCUCCAGCCACGGGAGACAUUCCAACCCUCUCUUGCCUAGGUGUCUGUAUGGUGUCAAUAGGAUCGACCCUCUAUGUCUUUGGAGGCCGAGACGCUUCACGUCAAUACAACGGUUUCUACUCGUUUGACACGACCACAAACGAGUGGAAACUGCUAACUCCGGUCGAAGAAGGACCCACUCCUCGUAGUUUCCACUCAAUGGCAG